Molecule: long non-coding RNA, 891 nt
Filed under: Equus caballus (horse)
Lineage: Eukaryota; Metazoa; Chordata; Mammalia; Perissodactyla; Equidae
Description: lncRNA (ENSECAG00000049782.1)
Source: RNAcentral
GCCUCUGUCUGAAAACAAACCAUUGGAGCCUUGGCCCUGAACAAUUUCACGUCACGGGAAUGAUACAGGCUGCCUGCCGCUGAAGCUCCAAAGCGGGGGUCAAGGCAGGGCCAAGGGUCUGCUGAGGCUGGGUGAGGACGCGAUGGAAGGAGAUUGGUGCCAGCUGGAAGAGAUGGAGCUGCUCCUUCAGCCAUGAUCGCAAAAUGAAGAUGAUGUGUGAAGAAGAGCCACAGCCGACCUGUGGUCAAUGUGUAAGGACCUGGCCUGAGGGAAGGAGGAGGCACCUUUGACUGAAACAGGACCAACAGCAGGAGCAGCAGGUUUGGAUGGAGAAGCAAGUCUGGGUCCGGACCUAAUUGCUCGCUUCUGUGUGUCUCGCGGUCAACACACUAAAUUUCUUGAGAGUUGGGACCAGUUCUAGGCACUUUUUUUCACUCAAGGGCUGAAAUAUCUGUUGAAAGAAUAAAUAAGUGAAUGGAUAACUCCAGUAGGCCUGUUACAUUUCCUUGGAGUUCAUCCCAUUGAUGCUACGGUUUUCCAACUUCUGGAUCCAAAAGAAUCACCCGGAAGCUGGUAUAAUUCAGCCAAUCUGAGUCUGUUCCUUGUUCUUCCCUCCCCCACUGAAAACAUAAAUAGUAGCAUUGUUCUGCCUCCUUCCUGUUUUUUUUACUUUGCAAGAUAUCCUGGUGAUCUUUCCACAGAAGGACAUAGCAAGCUUCCCCACUCAUUCAUUCAUUCAUUCAUUCAUUCCUUCAUUUAUUCACAGCCGCGCAGCAUUCCAUUGCAUGCACACACCAUGAAUUUUGAACCUGUCCUCAGGGCAUGGGCCUUUACAGUGUUUUCACCUCUUUCUUGCAAACUGUACUGCCCUGAGUGGCUGUGUCCGUGCCA